GGGCUGGCUUCCCAGCACAUGGACUGGAAUUGGAACGAUACAGAGAGCAGCAUGGCCCUGGGCAGGGACGACACGCACAUUCGUGAAGUGUUCCAUGUUUAA
Eptesicus fuscus (big brown bat) is the source of this 102-nucleotide small nuclear RNA. NCBI's taxonomy places the organism in Eukaryota, Metazoa, Chordata, Mammalia, Chiroptera, Vespertilionidae. The record is from RefSeq and is a predicted model, not a curated record.